Octopus bimaculoides (California two-spot octopus) is the source of this 2876-nucleotide unclassified non-coding RNA. The record is from RefSeq and is a predicted model, not a curated record. Lineage: Eukaryota; Metazoa; Mollusca; Cephalopoda; Octopoda; Octopodidae.
ACAGUAUUACGUUUAGUGACGUCAUCACUUUAUGCAUUCGAUCUGCAGUGACAUGUUACUCAUUCGCUUGGUUUAACACGACUCUUUUGCGUCUGGUGUAAUAUAUCGAACAAGAUUUGUUCGUUUGUUGUUUCCCACACCGCUUCAAGAUGAUGCAAUUUAUGUUGCUGUUUAGUCGUCAGGGGAAAUUAAGAUUGCAGAAAUGGUAUGUUGCUCACCCAGACAAAGUAAAGAAGAAGAUUACCCGUGAGCUUGUCACUUUGGUUCUUGCCAGGAAACCAAAGAUGUGCAGCUUUCUGGAAUGGAAAGAUUUGAAAAUAGUUUAUAAAAGAUAUGCCAGCCUUUACUUCUGUUGUGCCAUUGAACCAGCUGACAAUGAAUUAUUAACACUUGAAAUCAUACACAGAUAUGUUGAAUUGCUUGAUAAAUAUUUUGGCAGCGUAUGUGAGCUUGAUAUAAUUUUUAAUUUUGAAAAAGCUUACUUCAUGCUUGACGAGUUAAUGCUUGGCGGUGAAGUGCAGGAAACCAGCAAGAAAAAUGUGUUGAAGGCCAUUGCUGCACAGGACCUAUUACAAGAGUUGGGAGCUUCCACUGUCAAAGAUUUGCCAGGUAGUGGUAUUGUCUUAUACUACUGAGCAAGUGUAUUAAGAUGUGAAGCUAAAAACUCUCAAGUUAGUUUAGACAUUUUAGAGUCAGAAACACCAAAAGGCAUACUUGAAGACAUAGGGAUUUCAUUUCCCAGCUAGUAUCGAUACAUCCUUGGUCAGUGUGCUCCCCAGACUUUUCCAUGGAAAUUUUACACACCGUCUGCUGCCACCAUCACCACCACCAACCACUACUACUAUUACCAGUACCACCUUCAUUACUACUACUACUACCACCACCACCACUGUCACUUAUUCUACAACCAACACUACUACUACUACUACUACCACUACUACUACUACCACUACUACUACUGAUGAUGCCCUGUCAAAACAAGUUAUCACCCUAUACCAAAAGUCACUAUUACUCUCACUCAUUCUUUUUCUAAUAUUCUAAUGACCUUAACAGUGAACCAGUUAAUUUUUUAUUUGAUUAUUAGAGAUUAUCACUUUGUGUCUAGAUAAUUCUUGCUCUUUAUCUCUAAUAAUCUUUCCUUCUGUUUUUCACUACUCCUCUCAUACUUACUUUCUUGGUCUCUCUCUCUCUCUUUCUCUCUCUCUCUCCUCUCUCUCUCCUCUCUCUCUAGCUCUUACUAUUUUCUUUCACCUUUUCCUGCUCCUCUAUCUCUUAUACAGCACUUAUUUAAAUCUUUAUAAUUGCAAUUUUCUUUUUUCUUCCUCGGGAAGGAAGUUUUCUUUUUGUUUUGUUUUAUUUAUUUUUUAUGAGACCAAAAUUUGGUAAAGACAAACUGGCAGUAACAAUGGUAGCAGCAGAUUCUUGAUUUUUGGCAAUUCUUGCAGUAUAGCUGCUCAGUCAGUUGCCGAUUGGCAAUGCUACCUGAUAUCACCAGAGAGGGGAAUAAAUUGACAGCGAAAAUGACUUGCUAAACUACAACAAUAGGAAAAAUAAUUGAAAGAUAGGGAUAGAGAAACAGUGACACACAGAGAAAGUGGGAGGAACUGAACAAAAAGAAAAUGAAUUGGAGUAAAUUCUAUAAAGCUUGGACUGAUUUCUAGUCAUUUCUGCCUAUCUUUAUUUCUCCUCUUCCUCAUUAUUUGUUUGUCUCUUUUACCACCACUUCUACUGUGGCUCUGCAUCUGUUGAUGGCUAUGAAUUGGGUGUUUUGCAAAACCAGGAAUUAAAAAAUGAAUAAAAAGAUAGGAAAAAAUUUUUCUUCAAAAAACAGAAACAAGAAAAAUGUCAACAGAAACUGUUUCUACAAAGAAUAGAAAUGACAACUACUCUAUAGAACGGUUGUGAUGACAGCAUCUGUGAUAAGAAUGGGUGACAGUGAGAAUAUAGGUCUUCUACUACUGCAACAAACACUAAUCUAUUGAUGACUAUGUCUCAAAAUGAUAUAUAAAACAAAAAAUAGUAAUAACAGCUGUGGCAGUGAUUUCUUACCAUAGCAAUAACACAGUAAUUUUAACACAUUUCCUAUAACUGAAGACCUAUUGUACUUGUGUGUUUCAUGUAUGUGUGUGUGUGUGUGUGAAUAUAGACACAUAAAUGUAUAUGUGCUACUAGGUGUUGCAAUUAAGUAUGACCUCAGCUGAUGCAAGUUAUAACCUUGUAGAAGUUCUGCCUGUGUAUACAUAUAUUUAUGUAGUUAAGUAUAUACUUGCAUGUAUAUGUCUAAGUGUGUGUAUAUCUGUAUAUAUGUACACACACAUGUAAUAUGCAUGUAUACAUAUAUAUAUACAUGCGUGCAAGCGCGCACACACACACACAUACACACACAGAUAGAUGCAUGUGUGGUUUGUGUCUGUAAGUGUAUUUGUACUAAAAUGACUGUUUUAAAUUGCAUAUAACUUUAAGAUAAGAACUUGUUCACCUGAAUGUGAGUUAGAUGUCACUGGUGAAAAUAAAAUAUGGAGCAUACAGAUUGAAAUGUCUACUCUAGGAAAAUAAAUAUUUCAAAUAUAUAAUUGGUGUAAAAACAAAAGUAUGUCAAUUAGGACAAUGGUUGGUAUAGAAAGAUUGUUCUUGGAACAGAACACCUAAGAAAUCUUCCUUUUGUAUACAUUUGGUGGCCCUGUAACCUUUCUGCUGUAGCAUGAGAGGUUACUGGAAAAGUGAGCAGGGGGAGGGGUCUUAUAUUUAACCUUUUAUUUUUUGUAAAGGACAUGUUUUACAACACUGCUGAAGGUUGUCCAAGUGUAAAAAAUAUCUAUGUGUCUGUGUUUGCAUAUAUAAAUAUGUAUUUAUGUGUAUGUAUAUAUAUAUAUAUA